This 301-nucleotide ribosomal RNA is filed under the name uncultured bacterium. Its description in RNAcentral is "partial 16S ribosomal RNA". It matches the Rfam family "Bacterial small subunit ribosomal RNA", at positions 509 to 807 of the family's 1533-position model. The record is from RNAcentral.
CAGUCGCCGCGGUAAUACGAAGGGGGCUAGCGUUGUUCGGAAUCACUGGGCGUAAAGGGUGCGUAGGCGGGCAUUUAAGUCAGGGGUGAAAUCCCGAGGCUCAACCUCGGAACUGCCCUUGAUACUGGGUGUCUUGAGUCCGGAAGAGGUGAGUGGAACUGCGAGUGUAGAGGUGAAAUUCGUAGAUAUUCGCAAGAACACCGGUGGCGAAGGCGGCUCACUGGUCCGGAACUGACGCUGAGGCACGACAGCGUGGGGAGCAAACAGGAUUAGAUACCCCUGUAGUCCCUGUCUCUUAUAC